GAUGAACGCUGGCGGCGUGCCUAAUACAUGCAAGUCGAGCGAACAGACGAGGAGCUUGCUCCUCUGACGUUAGCGGCGGACGGGUGAGUACCACGUGGAUAACCUACCUAUAAGACUGGGAUAACUUCGGGAAACCGGAGCUAAUACCGGAUAAUAUAUUGAACCGCAUGGUUCAAUAGUGAAAGACGGUUUUGCUGUCACUUAUAGAUGGAUCCGCGCCGCAUUAGCUAGUUGGUAAGGUAACGGCUUACCAAGGCAACGAUGCGUAGCCGACCUGAGAGGGUGGUCGGCCACACUGGAACUGCGACACGGUCCAGCCUCCUACGGGAGGCAGCAGUAGGGAAUCUUCCGCAAUGGGCGAAAGCUUGACGGAGCAACGCCGCGUGAGUGAUGAAGGUCUUCGGAUCGUAAAACUCUGUUAUUAGGGAAGAACAAAUGUGUAAGUAACUAUGCACGUCUUGACGGUACCUAAUCAGAACGCCACGGCUAACUACGUG
Molecule: ribosomal RNA, 497 nt
Filed under: uncultured bacterium
Lineage: Bacteria
Description: partial 16S ribosomal RNA
Rfam family: Bacterial small subunit ribosomal RNA
Source: RNAcentral